This 1145-nucleotide long non-coding RNA is filed under the name Homo sapiens (human). RNAcentral's name for it is "novel transcript". Lineage: Eukaryota; Metazoa; Chordata; Mammalia; Primates; Hominidae. The record is from RNAcentral.
AGAGAAUGUGGUCUUUGUACAGACUGAUAAACCCACCUACAAGCCUGGACAGAAAGUAUCCAGUGAUCACCCUUCAGGAUCCAGAAGGCAAUCGAAUACAACAGUGGGUGAAUGAGGAGUCUGUGGGAGGGAUUCUACAACUCUCCUUCCAGUUAAUCUCAGAGCCCAUCCUCGGAUGGUAUGAAAUCACCGUGGAGAUGCUCAAUGAGAAGAAAACAUAUCACUCCUUCUCUGUGGAAGAAUAUGUGUUACCCAAAUUUCAAAUGACUGUGGAUGCACCAGAAAAUAUCUUAGUUGUGGACUCUGAAUUCAAAGUGAAUGUCUGUGCCUUAUAUACCUAUGGUGAACCUGUGGACGGGAAGGUCCAACUUAGUGUGUGCAGAGAAUCUACGGCUUAUCAUUCAUGUGCUCAUCUUAUCAGUUCACUCUGUAAAAAUUUUACCAUUCAGUUGGGGAAAGAUGGCUGUGUCUCCAAGUUUAUUAACACAGAUGCUUUUGAGUGAAAUCGGGAAGGAUACUGGAGUUUCCUCAAAGUGCAUGCUCUUGUUACAGAGGACGGAACAGAUUAAAUUGCUUAAUCCAGACAACUCUCCAAUCCCAAAUGAAGUUGUUCAGUUGCAUCUGAAGGACAAAAUCGUGGGAAACUACACCACAGAUGUAAAUGGCAUCGCUCAGUUUUUCUUGGACACAUAUACGUUUACAUACCCAAAUAUCACUUUGAAAGCAGCCUACAAGGCCAAUGAAAAUUGCCAGGCUCAUGGCUGGGUGUUGCCUCAAUACCCUCAGCCCGAGUACUUUGCAUAUCGAUUUUACUCCAAGAUGAAUAGCUUCCUAAAGAUUGUCCAAGAGAUGGAAGAACUGAGAUGCAACCAGCAGAAGAGGGUGCUAGUGCACUGCAUUCUCAAUAUGGAAGACUUUGAAGACAAAACCUACACAGCAGACUUCAAUUAUUUGGUGCUGUAUUAGCAAUUGUAACAAUAGAAGAAAUAGAAAAAGUAUAACUGGGGACAAAACAUAUAUUAGAAUUACGUGAUUUCAAAAGGUGUAAUCAUUCUUCAUGGGCAACAGAAAAUUGAGAUCAACGAAAAUGGGAGGAAGGGCAUAUUUUCCAUUUCUAUAGACAUUAACCCUGAAUUAGCGCCCUC